AUAAAAGUAGCAAAUACGUGCAUUAGGUUUAGGACCUAAAUAUAAAGAUGUCAGUUCUUUCUUUUAUA
RNAcentral lists this transfer RNA (68 nucleotides) under Melarhaphe neritoides. RNAcentral describes it as "tRNA-Leu". Lineage: Eukaryota; Metazoa; Mollusca; Gastropoda; Littorinimorpha; Littorinidae. The record is from RNAcentral.